AAUUUAAUAAACGGCAAAGCCUAACGGUAAGCGAACCGAAGAACACACAAAAGCAGUGUUUGUCUUCUACUCUACACUGACAAAACCAAAAAAAAAAAUGCAAACCGAAGCCAUUUCUGCGUUCGUAAAAGUAAUAAAAAUGAUCGUGAUGGGAACUGUAACCCUGUUCGGCCUCACGCGCUUUCUUUCUGCCAUCGCAUGAAGAUUUUAUGGAACACGAUGCAGAAACCCUUCGGUUACAACAGCGGCCCACUAUCACACCAUCCUUCAGAUUUCCUACAAUUUUCUUUUUUUUUUUUUUUCGAGUUACAUUCCCCAAAUAGCAGUUCUACUAUAGUUCAUUACCAUAGUAAUGAAUACUAUUUCUAAAUGAACCCCGUCGUCCCGCUUUGAUUACAAUAAAUGGCCUGCAUGCUU
Daphnia carinata is the source of this 417-nucleotide long non-coding RNA. RefSeq lists it as uncharacterized. The transcript has 2 exons. The record is from RefSeq and is a predicted model, not a curated record. Lineage: Eukaryota; Metazoa; Arthropoda; Branchiopoda; Diplostraca; Daphniidae.